This 214-nucleotide ribosomal RNA is filed under the name uncultured bacterium. Its description in RNAcentral is "partial 16S ribosomal RNA". It matches the Rfam family "Bacterial small subunit ribosomal RNA", at positions 355 to 586 of the family's 1533-position model. The record is from RNAcentral.
UCGGGAAUUUUGGGCAAUGGGCGAAAGCCUGACCCAGCAACGCCGCGUGAGGGAUGAAGUAUUUCGGUAUGUAAACCUCGAAAGAAUGGGAAGAAUAAAUGACGGUACCAUUUAUAAGCUCCGGCUAACUACGUGCCAGCAGCCGCGGUGAUACGUAGGGAUCAAGCUUUUUUCGUAUUUACUGGGCUUAAAGGGCGCGUAGGCGGCGCGGUAA